Molecule: ribosomal RNA, 307 nt
Filed under: uncultured Anaeroplasma sp.
Lineage: Bacteria; Bacillati; Mycoplasmatota; Mollicutes; Anaeroplasmatales; Anaeroplasmataceae
Description: partial 16S ribosomal RNA
Source: RNAcentral
GGAGUAUGGGCCGUUCUCAGUCCCAUUGUGGCCGUUCAACCUCUCAGUCCGGCUACGCAUCAUCGCCUUGGUGGGCUGUUAUCUCACCAACUAGCUAAUGCGCCGCAGGCCCCUCUCUAAGUGACAUAAUAAUCUUUAAACAUUUAGGGAUGCCCCUUAUAAUGUCCUAUCCAGUAUUAUCCGUCGUUUCCAACGGUUAUCCUCGUCUUAAAGACAGGUUACCUACGUGUUACUCACCCGUUCGCCAUGGUUUGUAUUGCUACUACCAUUCGACUUGCAUGUAUUAGGCACGCCGCCAGCGUUAAUC